Dunckerocampus dactyliophorus (ringed pipefish) is the source of this 407-nucleotide long non-coding RNA. RefSeq lists it as uncharacterized. Lineage: Eukaryota; Metazoa; Chordata; Actinopteri; Syngnathiformes; Syngnathidae. The record is from RefSeq and is a predicted model, not a curated record. The transcript has 3 exons.
GCCCCGGGGCUGCACUGGACUCCUCCCCCCGUUGCUCAGACCCAAAGCUCGGCAGGAAGCGGGAGGUGCCCGGUGCGCAUCCCAGCCCCUGGAGGAGCGCACCGAUCCGAGAAACGCGCGGCGGCUCCACCUUGGCACCGCGGGGGUUGUGACCAUAAUCGAGCCCAGAACAGAGAGCGACCAGGCGGGUAAGCGUGACGGCGGGAGCCUCGGCGCACCUUCCACCUUCCUGAGCGGUGCGUAAAGAGAGAACAGAUGCAGAGUCACAUGACGCCUUGAAGGUCCUGAUGUGGUCUUCUUUCAAAGUGGAGGGUAGACGACAAAGAGAUUUGUGUGGGACCACAUGGCUGCAGUGACGAGAACAAGAGGAGGCCUUCAUACACAGUCAUCUUCCACCCUCUAGUGGA